Molecule: ribosomal RNA, 434 nt
Filed under: uncultured Blautia sp.
Lineage: Bacteria; Bacillati; Bacillota; Clostridia; Lachnospirales; Lachnospiraceae
Description: bacterial SSU rRNA
Rfam family: Bacterial small subunit ribosomal RNA
Source: RNAcentral
ACGGAAGGCAGCAGUGGGGAAUAUUGCACAAUGGGGGGAACCCUGAUGCAGCGACGCCGCGUGAAGGAAGAAGUAUCUCGGUAUGUAAACUUCUAUCAGCAGGGAAGAUAAUGACGGUACCUGACUAAGAAGCCCCGGCUAACUACGUGCCAGCAGCCGCGGUAAUACGUAGGGGGCAAGCGUUAUCCGGAUUUACUGGGUGUAAAGGGAGCGUAGACGGAUCGGCAAGUCUGAUGUGAAAGGCUGGGGCUCAACCCCGGGACUGCAUUGGAAACUGUCGGUCUUGAGUGCCGGAGGGGUAAGCGGAAUUCCUAGUGUAGCGGUGAAAUGCGUAGAUAUUAGGAGGAACACCAGUGGCGAAGGCGGCUUACUGGACGGUAACUGACGUUGAGGCUCGAAAGCGUGGGGAGCAAACAGGAUUAGAUACCCUGGUA